Ribosomal RNA from Phytophthora infestans T30-4, 304 nucleotides. Lineage: Eukaryota; Oomycota; Peronosporomycetes; Peronosporales; Peronosporaceae. The record is from RefSeq and is a predicted model, not a curated record.
CUCUUUAGCUUGGCAUUUGAAUCGGCUUUGCUGUUGCGAAGUAGAGUGGCGGCUUCGGCUGCCGAGGGUCGAUCCAUUUGGGAAAUGUUGUGUACUUCGGUAUGCAUCUCAAUUGGACCUGAUAUCAGGCAAGAUUACCCGCUGAACUUAAGCAUAUUAAUAAGCGGAGGAAAAGAAACUAACAAGGAUUCCCCUAGUAACGGCGAGUGAAGCGGGAAGAGCUCAAGCUUAAAAUCUCCGUGCAAGUUUUGCGCGGCGAAUUGUAGUCUAUAGAGGCGUGAUCAGUGUGGGCGCUUGGGGCAAG